UGACGACCAUAGAGCAUUGGAACCACCUGAUCCCAUCCCGAACUCAGCAGUGAAACGAUGCAUCGCCGAUGGUAGUGUGGGGCUUCCCCAUGUGAGAGUAGGUCAUCGUCAAGAUU
This 116-nucleotide ribosomal RNA is filed under the name Pseudomonas putida. The record is from RNAcentral. Lineage: Bacteria; Pseudomonadati; Pseudomonadota; Gammaproteobacteria; Pseudomonadales; Pseudomonadaceae. RNAcentral also lists the same sequence under 2 other names.